This 119-nucleotide ribosomal RNA is filed under the name Mus spretus (western wild mouse). Lineage: Eukaryota; Metazoa; Chordata; Mammalia; Rodentia; Muridae. The record is from RNAcentral.
GUAUAUGGCCAUACCACCCUGAAUGCAUCCGAUCUUGUCUGAUCUCAGAAGCUAAGCAGGGUCAGGCCUGGUUAGUACUUAGAUGGGAGACCGCCUGGGAAUACUGGGUGCUGUAGGCU